This is a small nucleolar RNA of Syngnathus acus (greater pipefish), 136 nucleotides long. RefSeq annotates it as small nucleolar RNA SNORA5. The record is from RefSeq and is a predicted model, not a curated record. The transcript has a single exon. Lineage: Eukaryota; Metazoa; Chordata; Actinopteri; Syngnathiformes; Syngnathidae.
GGCAGCCUUGUCAAAUUCAGUGCAUCCUCCUCAGUGUGUGCCACUGGCCAAAAUGGCUGCCACAGUGAACGUGUAGUAGAUUGGCCCCACUGUGUUCUGAUAUGGCCAUUGGGGAUAAAUUAUACUACACACAGUC